UUUUUGUUUGAAUGGAAAUUAUUAAGUGUGGAAGGAGUAAAAAAAAAAAAACAUAAUAUCUUCUCUCUCUCAGAUGCACGCACGCGAAACAACCUAACUUCGGAUUCACUCGAUCUAUCGCUCCCUCUCUCAAUCACGAUCUCACUAUACCUCUCACUCGAUCAGUUUCGUUCUCUCUCACCCUAGAUUCACGAUCGAACUCGACAUCUCUCUCUCACACUCGUUCUCUCUCGAACCCUAGCCUCCAAUCCGUUUCACUGAAUCACAAAUUCCAAUUCCUAAUUGAAGAAUCAAGGCUUACUGAACCCAAAUCGAAGCUUAGUGGAACGAAUCAAAGCUCUCUCAGCUCGUUACAGAGUCAUAAUUCCACCGCCUCUUCUCUCGAUCUAAAACUGGUGAGUUUUAACGAUGAAGGGUUUUUAGGUUUUAGCAUAUGUUUAUCUUUCAUUUUAAUCUUUGAUCUUUGAUUUUGAUGACUAAGGGUUUAAUCCUGUGUAAUUUUCUGUAAUCUCUUCUACUUUUGCUUUUAGUGUUGUGAAAUUCAUUGUUUUUUGCUUCUGACCGCCUCUGGUUCCCUUUACAUAGAUGUUCAAUAUUUGUGUAUCUUGUAGCCACUAACCAUUACAUAGAUGUUUGGGUGGGGAACCAAUCUCUGGCGGUACGCUUCCCUCGGUUGUUUUCUAUUUCGAUUCAGCAACAAUGUAAAGUAAGUGAUAUGGGGAUGAUGGAUGGUGACGGCUGGAAGUGGAAUCUGUUAUGGAGGAGGAAUUUCUUCUGGGAGGAACCUUUUUAUCAGUAGUUGUUAGCAGUAAUUGAUGGUUUUCAGCCUACAGCACAAGAUGAUGGUUGGAGUUGGAGGCCUGAUCCUGCGUCGGGGUUUACGGCGAAGUCUGCGUAUCAGAAUCUUAUCUUGCUGCAUCGCUCUGAAACUGAGAUGGAUCAUCUUCGGAACUUUGUCUUCAGUAAUAUAUGGAAAAGCGACGCGCCGUCAAAAGUUGUAGCUUUUUCGUGGCAAUUGAUGCUUAAUAGAAUUCCAACAAAGGCGAAUUUGACGUUGAGAGGGAUUGGUAAUGAUAUGGUCUGCUCCUUCUAUAAUGUGACUGCUGAAAAUACACUUCAUAUGUUCCUUCACUGUGGAACUUCGGCGAAAAUCUGGUAUGAGCUUGUGCAAUGGAUUGGCCAGGAGUUGCUGCUUCCACCGAGUUUUAGCCUCUCCUUCUCUAUGAUGGUAGGGUGUGGGACUGGUAAGAAAGGUAAAAAGGGGCUUAUGUUAAUUUGGCACGCGUAUAUUUGGAGAUGUUCCUUCUUUAUAUUUAUUUACUAUUGAUUAUACUUAAUCUGUUAACAUAAGAUAUAUUGAAAGAAAGUGAUCAGUUCAGGCACACUUUUUUCUCACUAUUAAGCUAUAUAUGCUUCUCUGUAUGACUAUCUUGUGUUUCAAAGGGACUUGUUGAUAUGCGGAUCUCUGAAUGUAACUUAUAUUGUUCAAUUGUCAUUUUCUGACUCAAGCAGUGCUACUCUUGAAGUUUGUAGAUCAUGGACAAUGGCUGAAUUAUUUACUACGUUAACAACUAUCACAUGGAUUAUUAGGCUAACAUAGUCAUCAAACUAAAAUGUUCCUAGAAAUCAAAGAAAAGUUUAAAGAAGCUGAUAAAAAUGAUCUUGAAGGCAUGUUAAAUAUGAAGAUUCAAGAUUUGGAUACUGUAGAGGAACUUAGAAUCAAAAGAGCGGACAAACAUGGAAUUGUUAAUUAUGAAGAUUUAGAGAUUGCUAUUGCAUCCGAAAACGUUGUUCAAGUCUGUGGCAUGAAGAUUUAGAGAUUGCUAUUGCAUCCGAAAACGUUGUUCAAGUCUGUGGCUUUGUCAACAUCACCUUGGUAAUCAUAGUUUUGAUAGUUGAUUUACACUUGAUGUAUGUGUUAACUGUACUCUAGGCUAUGUUAAUUACUUAAGUUGAUUAGGAUGUAUUCUAGCUAGCUAAAACCAUUUUAAUUACUUAAGUUUUAGUCAUGUUUUAGUCAUUUUAAUUACUUAGCAUGAUAUCUCUCUUUUAUUCACCAGGUUCUUUAGGAAGUGUAUUGUGAUUUUGUUAGUUUUAUGUGUGUAAUUACUUAUUGAUUAAUCAAAAGCAUGAUAUCUCUCUUUUAUUCA
Molecule: long non-coding RNA, 2150 nt
Organism: Trifolium pratense (red clover)
Lineage: Eukaryota; Viridiplantae; Streptophyta; Magnoliopsida; Fabales; Fabaceae
Exons: 3
Source: RefSeq, a predicted model, not a curated record